Pongo abelii (Sumatran orangutan) is the source of this 148-nucleotide unclassified non-coding RNA. It matches the Rfam family "Metazoan signal recognition particle RNA". Rfam says of the family: The signal recognition particle (SRP) is a universally conserved ribonucleoprotein. The record is from Ensembl. NCBI's taxonomy places the organism in Eukaryota, Metazoa, Chordata, Mammalia, Primates, Hominidae.
GCCAGGCAUGGUGGCGCAUGCCUGUAAUCCCAGCUACUCGGGAGGCUGAGGCAGGAGAAUUGCUUGAACCUGGGAGAUGGAGAUUGCAGUGAACUGAGAUCAUGCCACUGCACUCCAGCCUGGGUGACAGAGUUAGACUCUGUCUCAA